RNAcentral lists this ribosomal RNA (112 nucleotides) under Cyclobacteriaceae bacterium. Lineage: Bacteria; Pseudomonadati; Bacteroidota; Cytophagia; Cytophagales; Cyclobacteriaceae. The record is from RNAcentral.
UGUGGUGACUAUAGCGGUGGGGUCCACCUCUUCCCAUUCCGAACAGAGAAGUUAAGCCCGCCAGCGCCGAUGGUACUGCCGUAAAACGUGGGAGAGUAGGUCGUCGCCUCUU